This 508-nucleotide ribosomal RNA is filed under the name uncultured bacterium. Its description in RNAcentral is "partial 16S ribosomal RNA". It matches the Rfam family "Bacterial small subunit ribosomal RNA", at positions 28 to 507 of the family's 1533-position model. The record is from RNAcentral.
GACGAACGCUGGCGGCGUGCCUAAUACAUGCAAGUCGAACGCUUCUUUCCUCCCGAGUGCUUGCACUCAAUUGGAAAGAGGAGUGGCGGACGGGUGAGUAACACGUGGGUAACCUACCCAUCAGAGGGGGAUAACACUUGGAAACAGGUGCUAAUACCGCAUAACAGUUUAUGCCGCAUGGCAUAAGAGUGAAGGGCGCUUUCGGGUGUCGCUGAUGGAUGGACUCGCGGUGCAUUAGCUAGUUGGUGAGGUAACGGCUCACCAAGGCCACGAUGCAUAGCCGACCUGAGAGGGUGAUCGGCCACACUGGGACUGAGACACGGCCCAGACUCCUACGGGAGGCAGCAGUAGGGAAUCUUCGGCAAUGGACGAAAGUCUGACCGAGCAACGCCGCGUGAGUGAAGAAGGUUUUCGGAUCGUAAAACUCUGUUGUUAGAGAAGAACAAGGACGUUAGUAACUGAACGUCCCCUGACGGUAUCUAACCAGAAAGCCACGGCUAACUACGUG